This 417-nucleotide long non-coding RNA is filed under the name Sorghum bicolor (sorghum). Its description in RNAcentral is "long non-coding RNA (SBIC_LNC006570)". The record is from RNAcentral. Lineage: Eukaryota; Viridiplantae; Streptophyta; Magnoliopsida; Poales; Poaceae.
GAUUUUGACGUAAUUGCUUUUGACGCAGCUAGCAGGUGGCAGAGGUGUAUUUGAAUGUCGGCAGCGCCCUGACAGCGAUUAGGAUGUCCUCCGACUGCUAGUCUUCUUGAUCCUUCAAUUAUGUGGAGCUCAAGUAGACAACAAAGCUUUGUGGAACUAGUUAAGUGUUAGCAUAAAUAUCUAGCCUUUAUCAUGUUGAGCCUCCUCAAUAAAUGUUACUCUCUUUGGUACGAUCACAAUCUUAUUUUUAUAUUUUCAUUUUUAUAGAGCAGAAAAAAUAUUUAUUUUAUUUUUAUGCCACCAUAGCGAAUGUACUUAUGGGUUUUAUGCCACUCGUAUACUCACAUGGGGCUUAUUGUUUUUUCACAUUUUUAUUUCCUUUUUAAGAUAGUAUGAACAUGAUUAACUAAACAAGCA